This 22-nucleotide transfer RNA is filed under the name Dioscorea communis (black bryony). RNAcentral's name for it is "partial tRNA-Leu". The record is from RNAcentral. Lineage: Eukaryota; Viridiplantae; Streptophyta; Magnoliopsida; Dioscoreales; Dioscoreaceae. RNAcentral also lists the same sequence under 1 other name.
UGUUCAAGUCCCUCUAUCCCCA